Molecule: ribosomal RNA, 483 nt
Filed under: uncultured bacterium
Lineage: Bacteria
Description: bacterial SSU rRNA
Rfam family: Bacterial small subunit ribosomal RNA
Source: RNAcentral
UGAACGCUGGCGGUAUGCUUAACACAUGCAAGUCGAACGGUAGCAGGAGAAGCUUGCUUCUUGCUGACGAGUGGCGGACGGGUGAGUAACGCGUAGGAAUCUGCCCAAAAGUGGGGGACAACGUGGGGAAACCCACGCUAAUACCGCAUAAGCCCCACGGGGUAAAGCAGGGGAUCUUCGGACCUUGCGCUUUUGGAUGAGCCUGCGUUGGAUUAGCUAGUUGGUGAGGUAAAGGCUCACCAAGGCGACGAUCCAUAGCUGUUCUGAGAGGAAGAUCAGCCACACUGGGACUGAGACACGGCCCAGACUCCUACGGGAGGCAGCAGUGGGGAAUAUUGGACAAUGGGCGCAAGCCUGAUCCAGCAAUACCGCGUGUGUGAAGAAGGCCUGCGGGUUGUAAAGCACUUUCAAUUGGGAAGAAAAGGGGGUGGAUAAUACCCAUCCUCCUUGACGUUACCUUUAGAAGAAGCACCGGCUAACCCU